This 324-nucleotide long non-coding RNA is filed under the name Vigna radiata. RNAcentral's name for it is "long non-coding RNA (VRAD_LNC001183)". Lineage: Eukaryota; Viridiplantae; Streptophyta; Magnoliopsida; Fabales; Fabaceae. The record is from RNAcentral.
GGGUUUAACAAGUAGUAUGGCCAAUAAUGGGCAGAAUAACAUUACUCAACAUCAAAGAUGAAAUACAAGGGUAGAGACACCUCUAUUUAUAAGCCAAGGGUGUCUCUUUCUAACCCUAAAAGCAGGAUCUCCCACCUUUGCUCUCAUUGGCCAAAAAUGAGGCCUUCUAACCUCUCCAAUGAUGGGAGAACAUGUGGCCACUCACAAAACACAAUCAUCUUCAUUCCUAGAGUGUCAUAUGGCCACUACUAUAAGUAAAUCCUCUCCACUCCUAUAUGCAUGAUUUGAUAUGAUUGAGGCAUUUCUUGUUUUAGCUACUUGGCC